GGGCGAAUGGCGGAACUGGCAGACGCGCUAGACUUAGGAUCUAGUCCUGAGUAAGGGUGGGGGUUCAACUCCCCCUUCGCCCA
Molecule: transfer RNA, 83 nt
Filed under: Ignavibacteriota bacterium
Lineage: Bacteria; Pseudomonadati; Ignavibacteriota
Description: Ignavibacteriae bacterium tRNA-Leu
Rfam family: tRNA
About the family: Transfer RNA (tRNA) molecules are approximately 80 nucleotides in length. Their secondary structure includes four short double-helical elements and three loops (D, anti-codon, and T loops). Further hydrogen bonds mediate the characteristic L-shaped molecular structure. tRNAs have two regions of fundamental functional importance: the anti-codon, which is responsible for specific mRNA codon recognition, and the 3' end, to which the tRNAs corresponding amino acid is attached (by aminoacyl-tRNA synthetases). tRNAs cope with the degeneracy of the genetic code in two manners: having more than one tRNA (with a specific anti-codon) for a particular amino acid; and 'wobble' base-pairing, i.e. permitting non-standard base-pairing at the 3rd anti-codon position.
Source: RNAcentral